UCACAGUCGUGAGACUGAGCUCUGCAUUGGAGCCACAAUCAGUGUGGAACCUGCUUAAGAUUCUCUCUCUCUCUCUCUCUCUCCCUCUCCCUCUCCCUCUCCCUCUCCCUCUGCCCCUUCCUCCCUACUCUCUCUGAAAAAAAAAUGACAAUGUUCAAUAAUCCCAUAAAAGAUGAUGGUGACUUUGAAGAGAGCGGUAGCCACGAAUAUGGUAAGAAACGAUCAAUUGCUGGAUAUAUUUUGAAGAAAAGGAAAACUGAAUUUGCUGAAGGAUCAAAAAUAGGAUUUAAGAGAGAGGAAUCAUGGAGGACUCUAAAGAACAGAGCUGCCAUUUGCUAAGAAGGGGAAAUUUGCCAGGAUACAAGUCUGAAGAAGCCAUGCUACAUUGAGAGACUGCAAAGUCACAGUCCUGCCAUUGAGAAGCUCAUUUAUCUGUCACUGAGGUGGACAGCCUGUGACCAGUGCUAUAAUACAGGUCUGUCCCUGUUUUGGUGGAAGUCUCCAGAAGAGUAAUACAAAUGAAGCCUUGAAGAAUGAGUAAAGACAAAAAUACAUCAGACUGGACACUCAGGAGUUGAAGAGCCAGAAGAUUCUGAAUAGGUGCUUUAUGAAAACGACUGCCUGAACAAUGUGCAUUUUGGAGCUACAAGCAGCCAUUGAGAUCUUGUAUUCAAUUUCACAGAGGAAUAAACUGAGACUA
This is a long non-coding RNA of Panthera uncia (snow leopard), 700 nucleotides long. RefSeq lists it as uncharacterized. The transcript is spliced from 4 exons. The record is from RefSeq and is a predicted model, not a curated record. NCBI's taxonomy places the organism in Eukaryota, Metazoa, Chordata, Mammalia, Carnivora, Felidae.